This 2206-nucleotide ribosomal RNA is filed under the name Serratia marcescens. RNAcentral describes it as "partial 23S ribosomal RNA". It matches the Rfam family "Bacterial large subunit ribosomal RNA", at positions 1 to 2228 of the family's 2925-position model. The record is from RNAcentral. Lineage: Bacteria; Pseudomonadati; Pseudomonadota; Gammaproteobacteria; Enterobacterales; Yersiniaceae.
GGUUAAGUGACUAAGCGUACACGGUGGAUGCCUAGGCAGUCAGAGGCGAUGAAGGGCGUGCUAAUCUGCGAAAAGCGUCGGUAAGGUGAUAUGAACCGUUACAACCGGCGAUACCCGAAUGGGGAAACCCAGUGUGUUUCGACACACUAUCAUGUCAUGAAUACAUAGUGGCAUGAGGCGAACCGGGGGAACUGAAACAUCUAAGUACCCCGAGGAAAAGAAAUCAACCGAGAUUCCCCCAGUAGCGGCGAGCGAACGGGGAGGAGCCCAGAACCUGAAUCGGCUUGUGUGUUAGUGGAAGCGUCUGGAAAGUCGCGCAGCAAAGGGUGAUAGCCCCGUACACUAAAAUGCACAGGUCGUGAGUUCGAUGAGUAGGGCGGGACACGUGACAUCCUGUCUGAAUAUGGGGGGACCAUCCUCCAAGGCUAAAUACUCCUGACUGACCGAUAGUGAACCAGUACCGUGAGGGAAAGGCGAAAAGAACCCCGGCGAGGGGAGUGAAAUAGAACCUGAAACCGUGUACGUACAAGCAGUGGGAGCACCUUCGUGGUGUGACUGCGUACCUUUUGUAUAAUGGGUCAGCGACUUAUAUUUUGUAGCAAGGUUAACCGUAUAGGGGAGCCGUAGGGAAACCGAGUCUUAACUGGGCGAUUAGUUGCAAGGUAUAGACCCGAAACCCGGUGAUCUAGCCAUGGGCAGGUUGAAGGUUGGGUAACACUAACUGGAGGACCGAACCGACUAAUGUUGAAAAAUUAGCGGAUGACUUGUGGCUGGGGGUGAAAGGCCAAUCAAACCGGGAGAUAGCUGGUUCUCCCCGAAAGCUAUUUAGGUAGCGCCUCGUGAACUCAUCUUCGGGGGUAGAGCACUGUUUCGGCUAGGGGGCCAUCCCGGCUUACCAAACCGAUGCAAACUCCGAAUACCGAAGAAUGUUAUCACGGGAGACACACGGCGGGUGCUAACGUCCGUCGUGAAGAGGGAAACAACCCAGACCGCCAGCUAAGGUCCCAAAGUCAUGGUUAAGUGGGAAACGAUGUGGGAAGGCAUAGACAGCCAGGAUGUUGGCUUAGAAGCAGCCAUCAUUUAAAGAAAGCGUAAUAGCUCACUGGUCGAGUCGGCCUGCGCGGAAGAUGUAACGGGGCUAAACCAUGCACCGAAGCUGCGGCAGCGACGCUUAGGCGUUGUUGGGUAGGGGAGCGUUCUGUAAGCCGUUGAAGGUGGCCUGUGAGGGUUGCUGGAGGUAUCAGAAGUGCGAAUGCUGACAUAAGUAACGAUAAAGCGGGUGAAAAGCCCGCUCGCCGGAAGACCAAGGGUUCCUGUCCAACGUUAAUCGGGGCAGGGUGAGUCGACCCCUAAGGCGAGGCUGAAAAGCGUAGUCGAUGGGAAACAGGUUAAUAUUCCUGUACUUGGUGUUACUGCGAAGGGGGGACGGAGAAGGCUAGGCUGGCCGGGCGACGGUUGUCCCGGUUUAAGCGUGUAGGGGGUGUGACCUGGUAAAUCCGGUUGCAUACUAACCCUGAGGCGUGAUGACGAUGCACUACGGUGCAGAAGUAGUUGAUGCCCUGCUUCCAGGAAAAUCCUCUAAGCUCCAGGUAACAUUAAAUCGUACCCCAAACCGACACAGGUGGUCAGGUAGAGAAUACCAAGGCGCUUGAGAGAACUCGGGUGAAGGAACUAGGCAAAAUGGUGCCGUAACUUCGGGAGAAGGCACGCUGGCAUGUAGGUGAAGUCCCUCGCGGAUGGAGCUGAAGCCAGUCGAAGAUACCAGCUGGCUGCAACUGUUUAAUAAAAACACAGCACUGUGCAAACACGAAAGUGGACGUAUACGGUGUGACGCCUGCCCGGUGCUGGAAGGUUAAUUGAUGGGGUCAGCCGCAAGGCGAAGCUCUUGAUCGAAGCCCCAGUAAACGGCGGCCGUAACUAUAACGGUCCUAAGGUAGCGAAAUUCCUUGUCGGGUAAGUUCCGACCUGCACGAAUGGCGUAAUGAUGGCCAGGCUGUCUCCACCCGAGACUCAGUGAAAUUGAACUCGCUGUGAAGAUGCAGUGUACCCGCGGCAAGACGGAAAGACCCCGUGAACCUUUACUAUAGCUUGACACUGAACAUUGAGCCUUGAUGUGUAGGAUAGGUGGGAGGCUUUGAAGCGUGGACGCCAGUCUGCGUGGAGCCAUCCUUGAAAUACCACCCUUUAAUGUUUGAUGUUCUAACUC